This 73-nucleotide transfer RNA is filed under the name Candidatus Pacearchaeota archaeon. Its description in RNAcentral is "tRNA-Thr". It matches the Rfam family "tRNA". Rfam says of the family: Transfer RNA (tRNA) molecules are approximately 80 nucleotides in length. Their secondary structure includes four short double-helical elements and three loops (D, anti-codon, and T loops). Lineage: Archaea; Nanobdellati. The record is from RNAcentral.
GCCUCCAUAGCUCAGUUGGUAGAGCGGCGGUUUUGUAAACCGUAGGUCGUCGGUUCGACUCCGGCUGGGGGCU